CCAGACUCCUACGGGAGGCAGCAGUGGGGAAUAUUGCACAAUGGGGGAAACCCUGAUGCAGCAACGCCGCGUGAAGGAAGACGGUUUUCGGAUUGUAAACUUCUGUUCUUAGUGAAGAAGAAUGACGGUAGCUAAGGAGCAAGCCACGGCUAACUACGUGCCAGCAGCCGCGGUAAUACGUAGGGAGCAAGCGUUGUCCGGAAUUACUGGGCGUAAAGGGCGCGUAGGUGGGCGCUUAAGUCAGGUGUGAAAACUCCGGGCUCAACCUGGAGACUGCACUUGAAACUGGGUGUCUUGAGGGCAGGAGAGGAAAGUGGAAUUCCUAGUGUAGCGGUGAAAUGCGUAGAUAUUAGGAGGAACACCAGUGGCGAAGGCGGCCUACUGGACGGUGACUGACGCUGAGGCUCGAAAGCGUGGGGAGCAAACAGGAUUAGAUACCCGCGUAAU
RNAcentral lists this ribosomal RNA (447 nucleotides) under uncultured bacterium. RNAcentral describes it as "partial 16S ribosomal RNA". It matches the Rfam family "Bacterial small subunit ribosomal RNA", at positions 331 to 794 of the family's 1533-position model. The record is from RNAcentral.